This is a non-coding RNA of Misgurnus anguillicaudatus (oriental weatherfish), 2481 nucleotides long. NCBI's taxonomy places the organism in Eukaryota, Metazoa, Chordata, Actinopteri, Cypriniformes, Cobitidae. The record is from RefSeq and is a predicted model, not a curated record.
CAUCCCAGCAAACAUUGGUCCGACCGCAACGUCGUGUCCCUGGCCAAAAAUAGUCGCGGUAUGACGGCACAAAUCGGUGAAAAUAUGUAACACAGAACAUUUCAUAAAAAUGCAUUCAGAUACAUUUGUACAUGUCUAUAGUUCUAUGAGGUUGCAUGUAUAAUUGUUACUUUGACUUUUACUACGCGUGCUUCAAUAUUUAUACCCUGUUGUGAAUCGGUUGUAAGAGGACGUCACUAGGUGACGUCUUUUACACGUGCAUUUAUAGUCCAUCAUGACCCUCUAUAAAAAAUCAUAAACCUUCUAUAAAGUCAUUGUGAAAUAUGCAAAUGCUGUGCUUACACCUUGGUUAAUACUGCAAUAAUUAAUUUAAGUGCAAAAAGUAGGUUUUUAAGAGGUUGUGAAUAGACGUCCACUGACGUCUUUUACACGUCUAGACUAGACUAGUAGGAAAAAAAAAAGGAUAAUCUUUAUGAAAUACACGAUUUGUAUACAAAGUAAAUAUAUUAACUUUAUCUUGUUUAAAUAAAUUAUAAUCACAAAGUGCCCAGUGUGAUUGCAAAGCCACACUGCAUUUUAGUCAUUAUUCCAACCUGUUUUAUUAUUGAAUGUAUGCAUAUAAAUGUAAAACAGAUACAUAUCCGGUCACCAUUUAGGUCUGAGUUGGAUGUAAUUUCAAAAACUGUGCUAUUAAUUUAAGAAAUAUAGUGAUAAAUCUGGGGAUAUUACAAAAUCCCGCGAUAGGACAGAUUAUCUCGCGAGAUAGGGGUGACGUCACGCGUUCUUCCGGAAGUUCACAUUCAAACACGAGGAGCGAUUACGAGGGAGUUUUGUCUAUAUAUCAUUCAAAAUCUACUGUUGGGUAAGUACAUUGUGUAUUAUUUGAUUAACGUGCUUAAGUUUUACUUGUUUGACACGAAGGCUCCGAAAUAAACGUUGCCAGAAUUGUCCACACUGAGUAUUGCAAUAAUUAGCUAGAAGGCUAAAAGCUAACGUACUUUGAACUUAUACAUGGUAUAAAGUAUGUUUAAGGAUACAGUCAAAGUAACUUAUUAAUGUAGCCUCUUGAAAGUCUCUUUCAGAAAGUAAAUUAUCUGAAAAAUAAAAGUUAUUUGGCAUUAAUGGAAUUACAAUGAUUUGAUUGCCUAAACAUUGCACAUGCAAAAUAUUAAAUACUGUUUUGCAUUAAAAGUUUAGCAGAAGUGUUUGUUUGAUUAACUUCCUUUGCUUUUGUUUUGUACAAAGGAAAAGCAGAACCUCAUCCAAAUAAAAAAUAAACAAGCUGUUAAAGGCACUGUGUCCUACACAGACCCUCCAAAAUAUAACCACCCAAAACCCAAGUCAGUUGAAGGUCAACACAAACCAAAUAAAGAUGUGCAUUCUACAAACAAUAAAAAAAGAUCAAGUUUUGUGUCCACCACACUUAGAUGAGGCGUGCCCCACCCCUGACUUUGUCUACCCUACAUUAAGUUGUAAGUUUUUGACUGCUUUUGCUUAAUACUACGAAAAAACAUGAUUCUUUCAAAAAUGACUUUUAUAUAUUUUGAUAUGAAACUCAAAAAUGUAUAUAAAUUGUUUUGGUGUAUUUUGUUUACACAGGCACACUUCAUGACAGUAAACAUCGGUAUCACAAUGGUGUGAUUGAUCUAUACCCUAGAAUAAGCUGUGACACUAUGAGACGUGAGAUAACACAACGAAAAAAUUACCGGAUGGAGACUACCUGAUUCUUCACCUAUGGCCUCAGCUUCAAAUGCAACAUGUAAGAAAUGCUAUAUGACUGUGUAUUGUGCAUUAUGAAUACAUCAAAUAUGUUGAUAACAAGGUCCAGCAACUGUCUGAGUUGGUGGAUAUUCUGUCAGAGACUGCGUGAACAACGUUAUUAACAGAAUGAUGUCAAAUUGUCUUAUGGCAAAGUUCAAUAUGAGGGGUGGUGGACAUCUGGAAAAGAAGUCUUUUAAAGGCACACCUUUGUAUUAUGUUAUUCAAGAUGCUGUGAAGAGGUGGAGCCCAAAUGCCACAGACUCGGAAAUAGAUGCAGCUAUGGCAGACCACCUCAAGCACGCUCCAGGAAGAGCUGGGGUGGUGGAUACAAAAAAGCCAAACAGCUGUGAUGUGUUAAAGAGAGAGUUCACCAAAAAAGGAAAAUUGUUAUAAUUUUCUUAUCCACAUGUUUCAAACCUGUAUACCUUUAUAUUUUCUGCUGAACACAAAGAUUGAAGAAUGUUUGUAACUUCACAACCAAUUAACUGUCAAUAUUUUUUUUACAAUUGUAGUAAUGGGUUGUGGGAUCUGCUUUGUUAAAAACAUUCUUUCACAUGUCUUUGUGUUCAGCAGAACAUAGAAGGGUAUACAGGUUUGAAACAUGAGAGGGAAUAAAUGACUAAAUAUUAAUUUUUGGGUGAACUAUCCCUUUAUAGAAAGUGUUUUGAAGUUGUUAUUAUAGUUAAAUGGUUAAAAAAAAUAAAAAGUGCUAAAUCAGAA